Molecule: long non-coding RNA, 1481 nt
Organism: Hemicordylus capensis (graceful crag lizard)
Lineage: Eukaryota; Metazoa; Chordata; Lepidosauria; Squamata; Cordylidae
Exons: 3
Source: RefSeq, a predicted model, not a curated record
UCAGGAAGAGUGGAAUGCAGGGCAGAAUGAGGCCCUUGAAGAAUAAAGGGAAAGGAAAGGAGAAAUCUCCUUAUCUCUAAUUCCCAUGGGAUUGUUGCUGCACGGAAAUUGCAUAUGGCACUAGAUAGUGGGCAAAACUAGAUCACUUGAAGAGACCUGAUGGUGGUGGGAAAGAGAACAUUUUGUGCGAAUGUGAAGGAAGAUGAUAAGAAAUCAGAUGAGGAAUACAGGAGUGAGCCCACCCAGCUAUGAGUCUGCAGACAGGAAAUCACUUCUGAACGUAUGAAGAGGGCAAUUCUCUCACUACAGAAUAAGCAAGCCAGGUACACUUCCAACCAGCUCUCAGAAGAACACACAAUUUGAUGAGUCUCUACAAGCAAUUUAGACGAAGACCCUCAUAGGCCAAUUAGAACACUUGUUUUCAGAAAGCAUUUUCGGAAAGCAUAUUUCUCUUUUCAAAAGCAUUAUUUCAAAGGUUUAAGAUAAGGACAGCGUAGAGACACCCUGCAUGCAUUACUCCUUUUUCUACCAUUCCCUACCCUGAAAGCUUGUAAAACGUUUAUAAAGUUCAAACUAGGGGCACUAAAUGCCCAGAGAAUCACUGAAUGAAUCUCUCACUCAGGCCUCUCACCCUUGGGCCACAAAACAUGUGAUGCUAACAGCAUCAUUAUGCUUCUAUAUUCCCUUUUUAAAAAUAUCUAUAGCAGGCCCAGGUGGGGUGAUCAAGCUCAUGAUCAGAGUGGGGACAGAUGGAUUUAAACCUUUCCUUUUGUGCUAUGGUCCCAACAAACAGUGCCCCAUUUUGAAGCUACUACUUGCCCUGGGAAGAAAGAUGCUACUGGUGCCAACAAACCAUAGCUGGUGCAUAGAACAGAGAAACAUACAUUCCUUUAAAGCAAGAGAUGAAAUGAUAUGGAUUAAAGCAAGAUCAUCCCAAUGUCCUUGAUGAUGCGAGCAAAAAACACCUCGAUGCUUCUAUGUAGCUAAAUCUCAUUACCUUUCCAAUAUGGUCUAUUUUUAAAAAUAGAAAUUGCAAUUGUUUUGAAUAUUGCUACCAGGUAUCUAUUAUGGAAAGAGAAGCAGCUUUAAAAAUUCAUCAUAUGAAUUUAUUUAGUUUCAAUGGAUGGUUGGUCUGCCUUGGUUACUGGUUGAGCCCUGUGUCUGAUGCAUUGAUCAGGCCAUGAUGAAAGAUCCAUGAUUUUUGCGUCUCUCCUUUAUUCUUGUGAACUUUUAAUUGGGCUCUUAAAAAAAUAAAAGUGCUUUGUAUUAAAUUACGUUUUUGUAGUUGACCAGUCCAAAAUAAUGCAGUCUGCAUGGGGAGGGGGAGUUCUAUUAUUGGCGUUAUUGUUUUGUUUUAAGAUUUUUGUGUAUGUUUUAACUUUUUUAUGUUGCUAACUGCUCAGAGACAAAAGUUUGGGGCGGUGUACAAAUUCGACAAAUAAAUAAAUAAAUAAAUAAAUAAAUAAUAUUGAUGGAAAGUA